CGGGCACUGCACGACACGAGCUUUAGCGAACAUCCCUGAGGCGAUAAUCAAAAUCCAAGGGGGCUGUCCCUGGGCGGGUUCAGGCCCGUUCUACAUGGUCCCCACCUGACGUUGAGGCGUCAGAGGAUAUUCCAGCAAACGACCGAGGCGGUCCCGUC
RNAcentral lists this unclassified non-coding RNA (158 nucleotides) under Sphingobium sp. YR768. RNAcentral's name for it is "6S / SsrS RNA". Lineage: Bacteria; Pseudomonadati; Pseudomonadota; Alphaproteobacteria; Sphingomonadales; Sphingobiaceae. The record is from RNAcentral.